UCAAGCGCGAAAAGGGCGUUUGGUGAAUGCCUUGGCAGUAAGAGGCGAUGAAAGACGUGAUACUCUGCGAUAAGCCAUGGGGAGCUGAGAAUAAGCUUUGAUCCAUGGAUUUCUGAAUGGGGCAACCCACCUGAUUGUUUAUUGUUGUCCUACCGCUUUGCUACUUGAGGACGUAAGUUCGCAAGGUGCAGACGGUGGGUUCAUCAGUAAGCAGAACCAGGUAUUUAUAGACUGAAUACAUAGGUUUAUAAAAGCAAACCCGGGGAACUGAAACAUCUAAGUACCCGGAGGAAAGGAAAUCAAUUGAUACUCCCCUAGUAGCGGCGAGCGAACGGGGACCAGCCGAGCCAUGAGUGUGGUUAGAAUGCGUUGGAAUGCGCAACCAAAGUGGGUGAUAGUCCCGUAUAAGAAGCAUGAUUGGACGUAUUAAGUAGGGCGGAACACGUGAAAUUCUGUCUGAAGAUCGGAGGACCACCUUCGAAGGCUAAGUACUCCUUACUGACCGAUAGUGAACCAGUACCGUGAGGGAAAGGUGAAAAGCACCCCGACGAGGGGAGUGAAACAGUACCUGAAACCGAACGCCUACAAUCAGUUGGAGGGGCUUUACGUCCUGACAGCGUACCUUUUGUAUAAUGGGUCAUCGACUUGGUCUCACAAGCAAGCUUAAGCCGUUAGGUGUAGGCGCAGCGAAAGCGAGUCUUAAUAGGGCGUUGAGUUUGUGGGAUCAGACCCGAAACCGAGUGAUCUAGGCAUGGCCAGGUUGAAGAUAAGGUAACACUUAUUGGAGGACCGAACCCACAUCCGUUGAAAAGGAUCGGGAUGAGCUGUGCCUAGGGGUGAAAGGCCAAUCAAACUCGGAGAUAGCUGGUUCUCUGCGAAAUCUAUUUAGGUAGAGCGUCAUCCGAAUACCCUCGGGGGUAGAGCACUGGAUGGGUAAUGGGGCCCCACAGGCUUACUGAUCCUAACCAAACUCCGAAUACCGAGGAGUACUAGAUGGCAGACACACGGCGAAUGCUAACGUCCGUCGUGAAGAGGGAAACAACCCUGACCUACAGCUAAGGCCCCUAAUUCAUGGCUAAGUGGGAAAGCAGGUGAGACGACCAAAACAACCAGGAGGUUGGCUUAGAAGCAGCCAUCCUUUAAAGAUAGCGUAACAGCUCACUGGUCUAAAUAAGUUGUCUUGCGGCGAAGAUGUAACGGGGCUCAAGCCAUGAGCCGAAGCUUAGGAUGCAUUUAUUGCAUGGUAGCAGAGCGUAGUGUGACAUAAGACUUAUCUUUAUUAUCGCUUGACGUCUGUUUGGUACGUGUAAACGUGUUCAAGUAGCCGUAGGCGGUAGCACAAGAUAAAGUCUUUUCUGUGAAGCGGGCCUGUGAGGGAUCCCGUGGAGAGAUCACUAGUGAGAAUGAUGACAUGAGUAGCGACAAAGAGUGUGAGAGACACUCUCGCCGAAAAUCCAAGGGUUCCUGCUUAAAGCUAAUCUGAGCAGGGUAAGCCGACCCCUAAGGCGAGGCCGAAAGGCGUAGUCGAUGGGAACCAGGUUAAUAUUCCUGGGCCAGAUGGAAGUGACGGAUCUCGAGGGUAGUUCAUCCUUAUCGGAUUGAAUGGGCUGCUUAGAGGUCCCUGGAAAUAGCUCCAUCGCUAGAUCGUACCCUAAACCGACACAGGUGGAUAGGUAGAGAAUACCAAGGCGCUUGAGAGAACUAUGUUGAAGGAACUCGGCAAAAUACCUCCGUAAGUUCGCGAGAAGGAGGCCCGGUUUCUAGGCAACUAGAGGCUGGGGGCACAAACCAGGGGGUGGCGACUGUUUAUUAAAAACACAGGGCUCUGCGAAGUCGUAAGACGACGUAUAGGGUCUGACGCCUGCCCGGUGCCUGAAGGUUAAAAGGAGGGGUGAGAGCUCUGAAUUGAAGCCCAGGUAAACGGCGGCCGUAACUAUAACGGUCCUAAGGUAGCGAAAUUCCUUGUCGGG
This 1970-nucleotide ribosomal RNA is filed under the name seawater metagenome. Its description in RNAcentral is "bacterial LSU rRNA". It matches the Rfam family "Bacterial large subunit ribosomal RNA", at positions 1 to 1976 of the family's 2925-position model. The record is from RNAcentral.